CCCAAAUUGGAGAGACUAGGAGAGAAAAUUUUCCUUCCCCUCCCCUCACCUCCCCCUGUUAAAUGACUCGGGAACAUAGUGUAAAUCGAAGAAGAAAAAGGGCAUCAGUUCGUUUCCAUAUUAGAGUUCGUUUCCAGAUUAGAUCUGAAGGUACUCCGACUGAGCGGAAAUGUCGAUCGGGAUGAGUGGCGUUUCAUAAUAAAUUUCAUUUACAGUUCUCACAUAUGGCUUUCAGAAUUGUUGAAGUAAUGUCUUGAAUUUUGAGGAAAGAAUGGCCUCAAAAGGUCCAAGGUCUAAACCUGAUCACAAGUCAAGGGCCAAACGGAAAAAGGUCAAUCCGGCAUUGAAUUUUGACAGCAUGUACAAGCAUUCUCAGUCUAAAAACUACCAAACAUUUAAUGUAAAGAUCAGACCGAUGUCCAUGUUGGCGCUGAACCUAAUGUUGGUAUGAAGAAACAAUUGUUAUUUUGUUAACAGUUUACCACUUAAUAUUUGUUGGGGACCAUUUGUUUA
Molecule: long non-coding RNA, 513 nt
Organism: Helianthus annuus (common sunflower)
Lineage: Eukaryota; Viridiplantae; Streptophyta; Magnoliopsida; Asterales; Asteraceae
Exons: 3
Source: RefSeq, a predicted model, not a curated record